Molecule: ribosomal RNA, 245 nt
Filed under: uncultured bacterium
Lineage: Bacteria
Description: partial 16S ribosomal RNA
Rfam family: Bacterial small subunit ribosomal RNA
Source: RNAcentral
UACGUAGGGUGCAAACGUUAUCCGGAUUUAUUGGGCGUAAAGAGCUCGUAGGUGGUUUUUUAAGUUGAAUAUUAAAUAUCCCGGCUCAACUGGGAAGAUGUAUUCAAUACUGAAUUACUUGAGGUAUGUAGGGGAGGAUGGAACUUACAGUGUAGCAGUGAAAUGCGUAGAUAUUGUAAGGAACGCCAAUGGUGAAGACAGUCCUCUGGACAUUACCUGACACUGAGGAGCGAAAGCGUGGGUAG